Molecule: ribosomal RNA, 556 nt
Filed under: Salmonella enterica subsp. enterica
Lineage: Bacteria; Pseudomonadati; Pseudomonadota; Gammaproteobacteria; Enterobacterales; Enterobacteriaceae
Description: partial 23S ribosomal RNA
Rfam family: Bacterial large subunit ribosomal RNA
Source: RNAcentral
GGGUUGUGAGGUUAAGCGACUAAGCGUACACGGUGGAUGCCCUGGCAGUCAGAGGCGAUGAAGGACGUGCUAAUCUGCGAUAAGCGCCGGUAAGGUGAUAUGAACCGUUAUAACCGGCGAUUUCCGAAUGGGGAAACCCAGUGUGAUUCGUCACACUAUCAUUAACUGAAUCCAUAGGUUAAUGAGGCGAACCGGGGGAACUGAAACAUCUAAGUACCCCGAGGAAAAGAAAUCAACCGAGAUUCCCCCAGUAGCGGCGAGCGAACGGGGAGGAGCCCAGAGCCUGAAUCAGCAUGUGUGUUAGUGGAAGCGUCUGGAAAGGCGCGCGAUACAGGGUGACAGCCCCGUACACAAAAGCGCAUGUGCUGUGAGCUCGAUGAGUAGGGCGGGACACGUGGUAUCCUGUCUGAAUAUGGGGGGACCAUCCUCCAAGGCUAAAUACUCCUGACUGACCGAUAGUGAACCAGUACCGUGAGGGAAAGGCGAAAAGAACCCCGGCGAGGGGAGUGAAAAAGAACCUGAAACCGUGUACGUACAAGCAGUGGGAGCACAGGUU